Molecule: ribosomal RNA, 429 nt
Filed under: Actinomycetes bacterium
Lineage: Bacteria; Bacillati; Actinomycetota; Actinomycetes
Description: Actinobacteria bacterium partial 16S ribosomal RNA
Rfam family: Bacterial small subunit ribosomal RNA
Source: RNAcentral
UAGGGAAUCUUCCGCAAUGGGCGAAAGCCUGACGGAGCAACGCCGCGUGAGUGAUGAAGGUCAUCGGAUCGUAAAACUCUGUUAUUAGGGAAGAACAAAUGUGUAAGUAACUAUGCACGUCUUGACGGUACCUAAUCAGAAAGCCACGGCUAACUACGUGCCAGCAGCCGCGGUAAUACGUAGGUGGCAAGCGUUAUCCGGAAUUAUUGGGCGUAAAGCGCGCGUAGGCGGUUUUUUAAGUCUGAUGUGAAAGCCCACGGCUCAACCGUGGAGGGUCAUUGAAAACUGGAAAACUUGAGUGCAGAAGAGGAAAGUGGAAUUCCAUGUGUAGCGGUGAAAUGCGCAGGGAUAUGGAGGAACACCAGUGGCGAAGGCGACAUUCUGGUCUGUAACUGACGCUGAUGUGCGAAAGCGUGGGGAUCAAACAGG